UGGAUCUGUGUAUCGGACGGUCGGUUCGCCGCUCGCGGCGUUUAACUGACCGUUUCCGGACGUCCUGCCGGUGGUCGUUGGUCCGCGAGGGCCUUCGGCCGUCACCUCCCUCCGGGCUUCUCUUAACCGGGUGGCCCGGUGGGCCGGCACGUUUACUUUGAACAAAUUUGAGUGCUCAAAGCAGGCCUAUAGACGCCUGAAAACUGUGUGCAUGGAAUAAUGGAAUAGGACCUCUUUUCUAUUUUGUUGGCUUUUCUGAAACAGAGGUAAUGAUUAAUAGGGACAGACGGGGGCAUUCGUAUUGCGACGUUAGAGGUGAAAUUCUUGGAUCGUCGCAAGACGGACGGAUGCGAAAGCGUUUGCCAAGAAUGUUUUCGCUAAUCAAGAACGAAAGUUAGAGGUUCGAAGGCGAUCAGAUACCGCCCUAGUUCUAACCAUAAACGAUGCCAGCCAGCGAUGCGCCGAAGUUCCUCCGAUGACUCGGCGCGCAGCUUCCGGGAAACCAAAGCUUUUGGGUUCC
Molecule: ribosomal RNA, 520 nt
Filed under: Cabecar sp. Caldas
Lineage: Eukaryota; Metazoa; Arthropoda; Insecta; Ephemeroptera; Leptohyphidae
Description: SSU rRNA
Rfam family: Eukaryotic small subunit ribosomal RNA
Source: RNAcentral